This 1639-nucleotide long non-coding RNA is filed under the name Oryctolagus cuniculus (rabbit). RNAcentral describes it as "lncRNA (ENSOCUG00000036954.1)". Lineage: Eukaryota; Metazoa; Chordata; Mammalia; Lagomorpha; Leporidae. The record is from RNAcentral.
UAUGAAUUCCAGAUUUGAUUUCAGACUCUGGGGAUGUAUAUUCCUCUUUUGGAACUUGUAUAUCCGGUCCUGGGAUGAAAAAAAGGUGGGGGGGGGAGGGAAGGGGGAGGGUCCCCAGCAUAACAAGCAUUCCUUGUGCUCCUUCUCUUUCACACGCUGAGCACGCCGGGAGGGACGAGAGCGCACACACACACGCACAGCGUCUGGAUAAACUCAGCCCGAUGCGCUUCGGAACUCAGAAGGACUUCAUUCUAAAACAGUGCUGAAGAACGUGAAGCACGAGGGUUCAGAAAGUUCACAAUGUGUAUCCUGAAAAGACUUACGCGUGGAUUUCAAAUUUUCGCACCAAAAUAAACUUAGCUUUGAAUUCCAUUUUCCACACACUUGCUCAAGUGCCCACCUAUAGUAACUUUCCUUUGAUCAGGUUGAUGUUUCCAAAGCGCUAGUCCCUUGGAUGCUGGCCUGGGGCGACCGUCCCGUGGAUGGCUUGUGCUUCAUUUCAUGAAUGACCAUUGAACAAGCUGGUUCUGAAUGCCUAGCCGGGUCCUGCAAGCUGCUUUUCUGGAAAAAUAAUUCGUGGCUCGCUCUGAAACAUCUGCUCUGAGCGACUUCCCAUGCUCCAAUGUACUCCUUUGGAGAUUACAACUCAGAUUGUACUUGCUGCGGUCUCGCACUUGGAUGACUCACGUUAGCCUCGUUGCUACUCCUCUGUUGCCCGCACUUCCUGUGAGAAGCAGCUACCGUGGCCUGGGAGAACCAUCAGAGAAGAUGGGGACCCCAGCUGCUCAGAGAGCCGACUGGAACUUGACCUCGCAGCUGGCACAUUUAACACAGACCCAAACAAUGCCAAACGUCUCAGCCGUGUGGAUGGUUCUGUUCUGUGCAACCGUACCCCUGAGUUUUCAACCAGCAGUCAAAGACAUCAUGAACCUGCCCACUACAUCAGCUGCAUGUGAGGCUCGGAAGCCGCAUAGCUUCCAGGAAAAGCCCCGGGCUUCCUCGUUCCCAGGGACUGCGUCUCUCUCAAGGCAAGGCUCCCAGCCUUGCUGAGUCGUUAGUAUGGACAGCUCAGCUCCUAAGAAAACAGAUCUUUGAAAGGCGCGACAGAAACAAGUUCUCCCUUGACCUCAGACUGCUCCUGAAGCCCAGGGUUCAUGUUUGCACUCUACACAUCAAUCUCUGCCCCCCAGGGGGGUCGGGGGCUGGCAGGCUGGGAGCAGGGCUCACGGCACCCUUCAAUCAGGCGUGGGCUGCGAGGGCGGGCUGUGCAUGACCCGAGCCCACUGAGAGUCUCUCUCUAGUCCUUUGGUAUUCCCUGGCAGAACGUGGUUCUGUACCGGCCUUGGACCAGAAUGGAGCAGAGAUCUGAAGUGGACUUUACUCCCAGCCAGCGUAGGAGAGGGAUGCUUCUGGCACCUCAGGCCCCUCUCUCCUUCCUUCCAGUGUGUAUUUGUGUGGUUUUAAAUUUGUGGAGAUUACAUACAUGCAUUUCAAAGCUUGAUCUAGGAGUGGAGGAGUUCUGUUUGUUGCCUGCACGAAGGCACGCGGUCUCUCCUCGGCUGUGGAUACCCAUGGGACCCAACCUUUGGAGCCACUGUGCUGGAAGCAUGGAGCCAAGCUGGAAACAGGGGGACAGUUU